Molecule: ribosomal RNA, 446 nt
Filed under: uncultured bacterium
Lineage: Bacteria
Description: bacterial SSU rRNA
Rfam family: Bacterial small subunit ribosomal RNA
Source: RNAcentral
GAACGAUGAUCCGGUUUCGGCCGGGGAUGAGUGGCGAACGGGUGAGUAACACGUGGGCAAUCUGCCCUGCACUCUGGGACAAGCCCUGGAAACGGGGUCUAAUACCGGUAUAACACUCUCGCAGGCAUCUGUGAGAGUUAAAAGCUCCGGCGGUGCAGGAUGAGCCCGCGGCCUAUCAGCUUGUUGGUGAGGUAACGGCUCACCAAGGCGACGACGGGUAGCCGGCCUGAGAGGGCGACCGGCCACACUGGGACUGAGACACGGCCCAUACUCCUACGGGAGGCAGCAGUGGGGAAUAUUGCACAAUGGGCGAAAGCCUGAUGCAGCGACGCCGCGUGAGGGAUGACGGCCUUCGGGUUGUAAACCUCUUUCAGCAGGGAAGAAGCGAAAGUGACGGUACCUGCAGAAGAAGCGCCGGCUAACUACGUGCCAGCAGCCGCGGUAAU